Molecule: non-coding RNA, 483 nt
Organism: Schizosaccharomyces pombe (fission yeast)
Lineage: Eukaryota; Fungi; Ascomycota; Schizosaccharomycetes; Schizosaccharomycetales; Schizosaccharomycetaceae
Source: the annotation of a GenBank genome assembly
UAAAAUGGGAUUUGAACCAAUAGAAGAAGAGGAUCCAGAAUAACCAACAAUUGCAACUCCUAAAACUACGAAACUCAGUGAGAGCCAUUGCAAUUGACCGAUUGUUCUUUUUAGUAAAGUCGUAGCGAACAAGGCAACGAAAAUAAUAAGCGAACCCCUAGUCAUUUGAUAAAUGCUGGCACUAGUAUAAAGAAGGCCAACAUUCAUCAAUGUUGAACCACAUAUAUCCAUGAUUGCUGGAAGAGCCAUGAAAACUUUGUGCUUUAAAGGUAGGUGGUCAAGAGAUUCGUAGCCAGGACCUUGUGAGUGGCGUUUAUACAACACAUAAAACCAUAAACAUGCUUCCCCAAGAAAAAUGUUGAGGCUUUGAAGAACUGCCAUACUCUUGAUGGGUUCACUUUCUUCUGCUAUACUGUCUUGAUAUCUAUUUGAGAUGAUUUGUUAGCAAACAAUACUAUUGGAUAAAUAAAAUAGCUACUGACU